UACGGAGGAUGCAAGCGUUAUCCGGAAUGAUUGGGCGUAAAGCGUCCGCAGGUGGCUAUGUAAGUCUGCUGUUAAAUAGUGAGGCUCAACCUCAUAAAGGCAGUGGAAACUACAAGGCUAGAGUGCGUUCGGGGCAGAGGGAAUUCCUGGUGUAGCGGUGAAAUGCGUAGAGAUCAGGAAGAACACCGGUGGCGAAAGCGCUCUGCUAGGCCGCAACUGACACUGAGGGACGAAGGUGCGGGGAUCAAACAGG
RNAcentral lists this ribosomal RNA (253 nucleotides) under uncultured bacterium. RNAcentral's name for it is "partial 16S ribosomal RNA". It matches the Rfam family "Bacterial small subunit ribosomal RNA", at positions 524 to 776 of the family's 1533-position model. The record is from RNAcentral.